GGAUCACCUAGACCAACCCAACCCAGUUCCUUUUGACUUCUUUGGCAGUUUUCGUCGGUUUUCCAAUGAACCACGUCAAACAACCCUUGGGAAAACACUCAAUGGCUUUCUCUCUACCCACUCCACCCCAAACUUUAAUGGCAUUUGGCCUUAGAAAUUGUGAAACCACACCGGGGGAGGGGGUGCAACAGAGUUCGUGGUGGUGAUCCACCAAACCUGAAUAAAACUUCCACCACCACCAUCAACAAUGGACUCCCCUCAACCUCAAGAACAAACCCUAGGCAUUGGUUGGGGCGGCGAAGCACUAGAGGUGACGGAUCGAAGCCACCCAUUUCUAGGGUUUCCGGGGGGUUCGAGUAAAAUUGGGGAUUUUCCCGGUCAAAUUGGACCUCGGCCCAGGUAUGAAAAUUUUUCCUCUCCUUGAUUUGUACACUCCUGCAGAAUUUCGUAAUUUUUUGAAAUAGUUAAGUUUCCGGCGAGUCGGGGCGGCCACCACCCGCGGCAGCCCGUGGCCAGUGAGCCGAUGCUAUUUUUUCAUGUAGAUUUUGAUAUUUUAAAUCCAUAAUUGGUACCCAUUUGGUGUGAUUUGAUUGUGAAAACUAAUGUUUAAUAUUUCUGUUAUUAGAGUAUUUUCGGAAAUGGAUAAAAAGAUGAAUGGUGAACUACGAAAGGCUUGAUCCCGCUCAAGGGUACGUAGGCAGUCUAACAGGGUUAGAUGUAGCCUUAAAUAAUUGAGAUUAAUCUUUUGUUUGGAAUUUGAAUUAAGAAAAGAAAUUUGGUGAUUAAUUGUAAAAUUAAAUCUUAUGUUUUGGUAAUUAAAUUUUGG
RNAcentral lists this long non-coding RNA (826 nucleotides) under Malus domestica (apple). Its description in RNAcentral is "long non-coding RNA (MDOM_LNC012261)". Lineage: Eukaryota; Viridiplantae; Streptophyta; Magnoliopsida; Rosales; Rosaceae. The record is from RNAcentral.